GGUUAAGCGACUAAGCGUACACGGUGGAUGCCCUGGCAGUCAGAGGCGAUGAAGGACGUGCUAAUCUGCGAUAAGCGUCGGUAAGGUGAUAUGAACCGUUAUAACCGGCGAUUUCCGAAUGGGGAAACCCAGUGUGAUUCGUCACACUAUCAUUAACUGAAUCCAUAGGUUAAUGAGGCGAACCGGGGGAACUGAAACAUCUAAGUACCCCGAGGAAAAGAAAUCAACCGAGAUUCCCCCAGUAGCGGCGAGCGAACGGGGAGCAGCCCAGAGCCUGAAUCAGUGUGUGUGUUAGUGGAAGCGUCUGGAAAGGCGUGCGAUACAGGGUGACAGCCCCGUACACAAAAAUGCACAUGCUGUGAGCUCGAUGAGUAGGGCGGGACACGUGGUAUCCUGUCUGAAUAUGGGGGGACCAUCCUCCAAGGCUAAAUACUCCUGACUGACCGAUAGUGAACCAGUACCGUGAGGGAAAGGCGAAAAGAACCCCGGCGAGGGGAGUGAAAAAGAACCUGAAACCGUGUACGUACAAGCAGUGGGAGCACAGAGCAAUCUGUGUGACUGCGUACCUUUUGUAUAAUGGGUCAGCGACUUAUAUUCUGUAGCAAGGUUAACCGAAUAGGGGAGCCGAAGGGAAACCGAGUCUUAACUGGGCGUUAAGUUGCAGGGUAUAGACCCGAAACCCGGUGAUCUAGCCAUGGGCAGGUUGAAGGUUGGGUAACACUAACUGGAGGACCGAACCGACUAAUGUUGAAAAAUUAGCGGAUGACUUGUGGCUGGGGGUGAAAGGCCAAUCAAACCGGGAGAUAGCUGGUUCUCCCCGAAAGCUAUUUAGGUAGCGCCUCGUGAAUUCAUCUCCGGGGGUAGAGCACUGUUUCGGCAAGGGGGUCAUCCCGACUUACCAACCCGAUGCAAACUGCGAAUACCGGAGAAUGUUAUCACGGGAGACACACGGCGGGUGCUAACGUCCGUCGUGAAGAGGGAAACAACCCAGACCGCCAGCUAAGGUCCCAAAGUCAUGGUUAAGUGGGAAACGAUGUGGGAAGGCCCAGACAGCCAGGAUGUUGGCUUAGAAGCAGCCAUCAUUUAAAGAAAGCGUAAUAGCUCACUGGUCGAGUCGGCCUGCGCGGAAGAUGUAACGGGGCUAAACCAUGCACCGAAGCUGCGGCAGCGACGCUUAUGCGUUGUUGGGUAGGGGAGCGUUCUGUAAGCCUGCGAAGGUGUGCUGUGAGGCAUGCUGGAGGUAUCAGAAGUGCGAAUGCUGACAUAAGUAACGAUAAAGCGGGUGAAAAGCCCGCUCGCCGGAAGACCAAGGGUUCCUGUCCAACGUUAAUCGGGGCAGGGUGAGUCGACCCCUAAGGCGAGGCCGAAAGGCGUAGUCGAUGGGAAACAGGUUAAUAUUCCUGUACUUGGUGUUACUGCGAAGGGGGGACGGAGAAGGCUAUGUUGGCCGGGCGACGGUUGUCCCGGUUUAAGCGUGUAGGCUGGUUUUCCAGGCAAAUCCGGAAAAUCAAGGCUGAGGCGUGAUGACGAGGCACUACGGUGCUGAAGCAACAAAUGCCCUGCUUCCAGGAAAAGCCUCUAAGCAUCAGGUAACAUCAAAUCGUACCCCAAACCGACACAGGUGGUCAGGUAGAGAAUACCAAGGCGCUUGAGAGAACUCGGGUGAAGGAACUAGGCAAAAUGGUGCCGUAACUUCGGGAGAAGGCACGCUGAUAUGUAGGUGAAGUCCCUCGCGGAUGGAGCUGAAAUCAGUCGAAGAUACCAGCUGGCUGCAACUGUUUAUUAAAAACACAGCACUGUGCAAACACGAAAGUGGACGUAUACGGUGUGACGCCUGCCCGGUGCCGGAAGGUUAAUUGAUGGGGUUAGCGCAAGCGAAGCUCUUGAUCGAAGCCCCGGUAAACGGCGGCCGUAACUAUAACGGUCCUAAGGUAGCGAAAUUCCUUGUCGGGUAAGUUCCGACCUGCACGAAUGGCGUAAUGAUGGCCAGGCUGUCUCCACCCGAGACUCAGUGAAAUUGAACUCGCUGUGAAGAUGCAGUGUACCCGCGGCAAGACGGAAAGACCCCGUGAACCUUUACUAUAGCUUGACACUGAACAUUGAGCCUUGAUGUGUAGGAUAGGUGGGAGGCUUGGAAGUGUGGACGCCAGUCUGCAUGGAGCCGACCUUGAAAUACCACCCUUUAAUGUUUGAUGUUCUAACGUUGACCCGUAAUCCGGGUUGCGGACAGUGUCUGGUGGGUAGUUUGACUGGGGCGGUCUCCUCCUAAAGAGUAACGGAGGAGCACGAAGGUUGGCUAAUCCUGGUCGGACAUCAGGAGGUUAGUGCAAUGGCAUAAGCCAGCUUGACUGCGAGCGUGACGGCGCGAGCAGGUGCGAAAGCAGGUCAUAGUGAUCCGGUGGUUCUGAAUGGAAGGGCCAUCGCUCAACGGAUAAAAGGUACUCCGGGGAUAACAGGCUGAUACCGCCCAAGAGUUCAUAUCGACGGCGGUGUUUGGCACCUCGAUGUCGGCUCAUCACAUCCUGGGGCUGAAGUAGGUCCCAAGGGUAUGGCUGUUCGCCAUUUAAAGUGGUACGCGAGCUGGGUUUAGAACGUCGUGAGACAGUUCGGUCCCUAUCUGCCGUGGGCGCUGGAGAACUGAGGGGGGCUGCUCCUAGUACGAGAGGACCGGAGUGGACGCAUCACUGGUGUUCGGGUUGUCAUGCCAAUGGCACUGCCCGGUAGCUAAAUGCGGAAGAGAUAAGUGCUGAAAGCAUCUAAGCACGAAACUUGCCCCGAGAUGAGUUCUCCCUGACUCCUUGAGAGUCCUGAAGGAACGUUGAAGACGACGACGUUGAUAGGCCGGGUGUGUAAGCGCAGCGAUGCGUUGAGCUAACCGGUACUAAUGAACCGUGAGGCUUAACCUU
This 2906-nucleotide ribosomal RNA is filed under the name Escherichia coli. Its description in RNAcentral is "23S ribosomal RNA". It matches the Rfam family "Bacterial large subunit ribosomal RNA". Lineage: Bacteria; Pseudomonadati; Pseudomonadota; Gammaproteobacteria; Enterobacterales; Enterobacteriaceae. The record is from RNAcentral.